This 230-nucleotide small RNA is filed under the name Paenalcaligenes hominis. Its description in RNAcentral is "Manganese sequence". The stretch from base 1 to 186 matches the Rfam family "Manganese Mn2+ riboswitch aptamer (yybP-ykoY)". From Rfam's summary of the family: This RNA was originally discovered in E. coli during a large scale screen and was named SraF. The family was later found to exist upstream of related families of protein genes in many bacteria, including the the yybP and ykoK genes in B. subtilis. Lineage: Bacteria; Pseudomonadati; Pseudomonadota; Betaproteobacteria; Burkholderiales; Alcaligenaceae. The record is from RNAcentral.
UGGGUCGUCAUUGGGGAGUAGCCGCUCUAACACAACAAUGUGUAGAGGUUUGCGUCAACAUACUUGAUCCCUUCUUGGAUCAUGGCGCCGACAGUUCUAUACCUGGCAAGACCUUUGACCGUAUGGCUUCCAGUAUGGCCGGGGAAGCCAUACGGUCAAUUGUCUAAAAAACCGGCCAGGAGAAAUAAUAAAGUGGAUGCUUUUCUCGUCUCUACCGGUAUUGUGGCAUU